AUGGAUUCCUGGUGGUCGCAGUGGUGAGAGUGAACCCAGCCCCAUAAACACACUGCCCCCACACACACACCAUACACAUUCACACACUGCCCCCAUACACACCAUACACAUUUACACACAUUGCCUCACACACACACAUACACUGCCCACACAUAUACACACAGACCCCCAUACACAGCCCCCCAUACUAACAUUGCCAUACACAUACACUGCCCACACACCCUACACAUUCACACACUACACCCCCACACACACACUGAACCUUUCACACACAUUGCACCACUGCUCCUAUUCCCUACUACAGCCUUAAAUCCCAGCAGACCCCAGGUAAGUUGUCAAACUGUUCUUAAACGGUUUGACUACUUACUCUGGAGCAGUAGUGGUUAUUGUGCAUGGAUUAUUUCUUUAAAUAAUCUACAAG
Molecule: long non-coding RNA, 421 nt
Filed under: Pelobates cultripes (western spadefoot toad)
Lineage: Eukaryota; Metazoa; Chordata; Amphibia; Anura; Pelobatidae
Source: RNAcentral